GGCAAGAGCUCAGAUUUGAAAUCGUGCUUUGCGGCACGAGUUGUAGAUUGCAGGUUGGAGUCUGUGUGGAAGGCGGUGUCCAAGUCCCUUGGAACAGGGCGCCCAGGAGGGUGAGAGCCCCGUGGGAUGCCGGCGGAAGCAGUGAGGCCCUUCUGACGAGUCGAGUUGUUUGGGAAUGCAGCUCCAAGCGGGUGGUAAAUUCCAUCUAAGGCUAAAUACUGGCGAGAGACCGAUAGCGAACAAGUACUGUGAAGGAAAGAUGAAAAGCACUUUGAAAAGAGAGUGAAACAGCACGUGAAAUUGUUGAAAGGGAAGGGUAUUGCGCCCGACAUGGGGAUUGCGCACCGCUGCCUCUCGUGGGCGGCGCUCUGGGCUUUCCCUGGGCCAGCAUCGGUUCUUGCUGCAGGAGAAGGGGUUCUGGAACGUGGCUCUUCGGAGUGUUAUAGCCAGGGCCAGAUGCUGCGUGCGGGGACCGAGGACUGCGGCCGUGUAGGUCACGGAUG
RNAcentral lists this ribosomal RNA (503 nucleotides) under Pichia kudriavzevii. RNAcentral describes it as "eukaryotic LSU rRNA". It matches the Rfam family "Eukaryotic large subunit ribosomal RNA", at positions 100 to 625 of the family's 3401-position model. Lineage: Eukaryota; Fungi; Ascomycota; Pichiomycetes; Pichiales; Pichiaceae. The record is from RNAcentral.